Oncorhynchus tshawytscha (Chinook salmon) is the source of this 860-nucleotide long non-coding RNA. RefSeq lists it as uncharacterized. The transcript has 3 exons. The record is from RefSeq and is a predicted model, not a curated record. Lineage: Eukaryota; Metazoa; Chordata; Actinopteri; Salmoniformes; Salmonidae.
GAAAAUGUGGAUAUUGCCAGAUGUUCACUGUUCGAGGAACAGGCCGUAGAAGCCUUAUUGUUGGCAAAAGUGUCCAUAACCAGAGAUUCAGCAGGUGGAGGACCUGCUUUAUUAGGAAGAUAAUCUGGAAACACUGACAAUGGGUCAUUGUUCCUGACAUCCCAUGCCCCCUGUCUACUGAGAAUCUUGCUGUGCUCCAACGUCAAGUGAACCCUACCAACGACUCAUCUUUUGGUCAGGACAUAUACAUGCAUGCUCUUCGAUUAGUAUUGAGUCUCCAACCUUUUCAGGUGCAGUCCUCCCACACUAUAUAGGAUAUUGUUUUAGCCCCAGUGCCACUCUUGAUAAUGGCAAACAUUUGCAUUUUUUGGAGGAGGGUGAAAGGAUAGCAGGCCCAGCUGUCAAAGUGAGAGGAGAGUGAAUUCUGGAAAGAGCGGGUACUUGUGUGUAGUCUAUUUCUUGUGAGCUUUUCUGUCCUCAGAUACAGAGAGCUGUGAAAGCCUGUCUGCAGAUUAAGAGGUCCCAAUGAAGAGCAGGGGUUUUCAGUCCUGGUGCUGGGGACAGUCCUGGUGCUGCCUUGGCACUACACAGCUGAUUCAAAUGAUCAAGUCACCAUCAAGCUUCAAAUGGUAUGUUUUGAUGUGAGAGAGGAAGACCUGAAGAAAUCCCAUCAGCGCCGCCUCACCCGCUCUUAAGAUAAUCUUCGGGCCGACUGGGAGUCCAAGGCUGGUUAGAAGACACCGCGAGAGACACUAUGUAAUUGUGAUGAACAGAGAAUAUUAGGGUGGCACUAAUUCAUUAAUCAUAUGCUGUCUUCCCUGCUCCUCUGUUUUACCUCUCUCCCCACCUCUUUCUUCCUC